ACGCUCGACACCUACGAGAGGCAGCAGUAGGGAAUCUUCCACAAUGGGCGCAAGCCUGAUGGAGCAACACCGCGUGAGUGAAGAAGGGUUUCGGCUCGUAAAGCUCUGUUGUUGGAGAAGAACGUGCGUGAGAGUAACUGUUCACGCAGUGACGGUAUCCAACCAGAAAGUCACGGCUAACUACGUGCCAGCAGCCGCGGUAAUCUGAGCGGGCUGGCAAGGC
Molecule: ribosomal RNA, 223 nt
Filed under: uncultured bacterium
Lineage: Bacteria
Description: partial 16S ribosomal RNA
Rfam family: Bacterial small subunit ribosomal RNA
Source: RNAcentral